AAUAUUCUUGACGCUAAUAAGUUAUCUUUUUCCUAUUAAACUGAAGCCGAUCCAGAUCCAGAUCCAGAUCCAGAUCCUGCCUGUAUGCCACAGCUCCACCUAAAGAGAUAAAAAGUGGGAACAUGUGUCAGGACAACAGGGAGAAAUCAGCUUCUGGACCUCUUAGUUGUGUUAUUGUAAUGUUCAAGUAUAUGAUUACUGCUUAGAGUGCUAAAUAUUCGUUAAAAGAUGAAUUAUCCUUAUUUAGUAAAUAUCUUGUUGCAUAUAAUGAAUAAUUUUUGUAUUUAAAGAUUUAAUUAGUUAAAUUCAUUUAGUUUGUUGUAUUGAAAAUUAACACUAAGCAUUAGUUUAAGAUAUUUGUGUAUUUAUUUAAUAAGAUUAAUCUGUUUACUAACUUAGUAUAAGUCUUAAAGUAAUUUAAUUUUAGAUAGAUUAAGUAGUUAGUAGUAAUUAGUUUAAGAUAUUUGUGUAUUUAAUAAAAUUGAGGUAAUCUUGUUGCUUACUUAGUAUAAGAAUUAGAGUAAUAUAAUUUUAGAUAAUGUAAGUAGUUCGUAAUAAUUAGUUUAAGAUAUUUGUAUAUUUAAUAAAGUAACUGUAUUACUAACUUAGUAUAAGUCGUAGAGUAAUAUAAUUAUAGAUAGAUUUUAAGUAUUAUUAAAAGUAGGGACGUGUUAUUAUUUUUAUUACGGUAACCUUUGUAAUUUCGCAAAACAUUGAUGUAAAUAAACAUACGCUUUUUUUCUUCUGUAA
Agrilus planipennis (emerald ash borer) is the source of this 750-nucleotide long non-coding RNA. RefSeq lists it as uncharacterized. The transcript has 2 exons. NCBI's taxonomy places the organism in Eukaryota, Metazoa, Arthropoda, Insecta, Coleoptera, Buprestidae. The record is from RefSeq and is a predicted model, not a curated record.